GGUGGUGUGGUGUAAUGGUAGCACGUGACGUUGUGGAAAACAAUAAUUGUUGUCUUGCACGCAUAAUAAUAUUCAUCCGUUUCAAUCUGGGUUCGAUUCCCAGCACCGCCA
This 111-nucleotide transfer RNA is filed under the name Erysiphe necator (grape powdery mildew). It matches the Rfam family "tRNA". From Rfam's summary of the family: Transfer RNA (tRNA) molecules are approximately 80 nucleotides in length. Their secondary structure includes four short double-helical elements and three loops (D, anti-codon, and T loops). Lineage: Eukaryota; Fungi; Ascomycota; Leotiomycetes; Helotiales; Erysiphaceae. The record is from Rfam by way of RNAcentral.